CGAUCCUCCCACCCUUUGUGUACCUACCUCUGUUGCUUUGGCGGGCCGCGGUCCUCCGCGGCCGCCCCCCUCCCCGGGGGGGUGGCCAGCGCCCGCCAGAGGACCAUCAAACUCCAGUCAGUAAACGAUGCAGUCUGAAAAACAUUUAAUAAACUAAAACUUUCAACAACGGAUCUCUUGGUUCUGGCAUCGAUGAAGAACGCAGCGAAAUGCGAUAAGUAAUGUGAAUUGCAGAAUUCAGUGAAUCAUCGAAUCUUUGAACGCACAUUGCGCCCUUUGGUAUUCCGAAGGGCAUGCCUGUUCGAGCGUCAUUACAACCCUCAAGCUCUGCUUGGUAUUGGGCACCGUCCUUUGCGGGCGCGCCUCAAAGACCUCGGCGGUGGCGUCUUGCCUCAAGCGUAGUAGAACAUACAUCUCGCUUCGGAGCGCAGGGCGUCGCCCGCCGGACGAACCUUCUGAACUUUUCUCAAGGUUGACCUCGGAUCAGGUAGGGAUACCCGCUGAACUUAAGCAUAUCAAUAAGCGGAGGAA
This 531-nucleotide ribosomal RNA is filed under the name Botryosphaeria dothidea. RNAcentral describes it as "eukaryotic LSU rRNA". The stretch from base 158 to 311 matches the Rfam family "5.8S ribosomal RNA". The record is from RNAcentral. Lineage: Eukaryota; Fungi; Ascomycota; Dothideomycetes; Botryosphaeriales; Botryosphaeriaceae.